CAGUAGCCGCGGUAAUACGAAGGGGGCUAGCGUUACUCGGAAUUACUGGGCGUAAAGGGCGCGUAGGCGGCACGAUUAGUCAGGCGUGGAAUUCCUGGGCUCAACCUGGGGACUGCGCUUGAUACGGUCGAGCUAGAGGAUGGAAGAGGGUCGUGGAAUUCCCAGUGUAGAGGUGAAAUUCGUAGAUAUUGGGAAGAACACCGGUGGCGAAGGCGGCGACCUGGUCCAUUACUGACGCUGAGGCGCGACAGCGUGGGGAGCAAACAGGAUUAGAUACCCCUGUAGUCCCUGUCUCUUAUAC
This 301-nucleotide ribosomal RNA is filed under the name uncultured bacterium. RNAcentral's name for it is "partial 16S ribosomal RNA". It matches the Rfam family "Bacterial small subunit ribosomal RNA", at positions 509 to 807 of the family's 1533-position model. The record is from RNAcentral.